CAGUGCAGUCAUCCAUAAAGUAGAAAGCACUACUAAACUCUUUGCCACAGUGUAGUGUUUCCUACUUUAUGGAUGAGUGUACUGU
This is a non-coding RNA of Takifugu rubripes (torafugu), 85 nucleotides long. Lineage: Eukaryota; Metazoa; Chordata; Actinopteri; Tetraodontiformes; Tetraodontidae. The record is from Rfam.